This 1096-nucleotide long non-coding RNA is filed under the name Physcomitrium patens. Its description in RNAcentral is "long non-coding RNA (PPAT_LNC011606)". Lineage: Eukaryota; Viridiplantae; Streptophyta; Bryopsida; Funariales; Funariaceae. The record is from RNAcentral.
AAGAUAAAAAAUAAAUUGUAACAACAAGUCCUAACAACUCUAAUAUAUUUCUUAAAUAAAUUAAAAUUAAAGAUAAAUAAAUAUAAUCAAACAUUGAUCAAAUUCAAUAAAAAUUUCAAAAGAAUUGUAUAAGAAAUACAAAGUAUUCUUAGAAAUCCUUUAAAGAAUCAUAAAGAAAUAAUAUAGAAUUUAAAAAAUAUAUUAAAAUAGAAAUCUUAAUUAAAUCUUAGUCAAAACUUAAUCAAAUCUUAAAUAAAUCUUAGUCAAAUCCUAAACAAAAUCUAACCAAAUCCUAAACAAAUCCUAACCAAAUUUUAACCAAAUCCUAAAAAAAUCCUUAUCAAAUCCUAAAUAAAUCCUAAAUAAAUCCUAAAUAAAUUCUAGUCAAAUCUUAACUAAUUUUUAAUCAAAUCCUAAACAAAUCUUAACCAAGUCCUAGUCAAAUCCUAAAUAAAUCCUAAUCAAAUCCUAAAAAAGUCCUAAUCAAAUCCUAAAUAAAUCUUAAUCAAAUCCUAAUAAAAUCUUUAUCAAAUCUUAAAUAAAUCCUAGUCAAAUCCUAAAUAAAUUCUAACCAAAUCCUAAAUAAAUCCUAAAUUUAUCCUAAACAAAUCCUAACCAAAUCUUAAACAAAUCUUAAAUAAAUCCUAAACAAAUCCUAACCAAGUCUUAAAUAAAUCCUAAAAAAAUCCUAAAAAAAUCUUAAAUAAAUCCUAAUCAAAUCCUAAACAAUCCUAACCAAAUUCUAAUCGAUUCUUAAACAUACCCUAAUCAAAUCCUAAAUAAUUCCAAGUAAUUCUAACAAUAGAUUUAAACCUCAAUAAUUAAUGAAUGAACCAUUGAUUUUAACUCAAAGUUUUGUACACAUCUUAAAAAUUAAGUUGAAAACAAGCAUAAAAGUUUUGAAGAAGAUCGAACUCACCAAAAAGUAGAUCAACCCUAAUAUUUGCUCAGAUGUUGGCCAGCCUCCUUCUCCAAUCUGAAUGUUGAAUUUUCAGGGCUAAUAUCUCCUAAUUAAAUUAUUAUAUUGAUCAUAAAUUUUUUUAAUAUGUAGUAGAAUAAGUCUACUACCUACAUAUAUAAUUUUUACUCUAAUCCA